This 440-nucleotide ribosomal RNA is filed under the name uncultured bacterium. Its description in RNAcentral is "partial 16S ribosomal RNA". It matches the Rfam family "Bacterial small subunit ribosomal RNA", at positions 338 to 795 of the family's 1533-position model. The record is from RNAcentral.
CCUACGGGUGGCAGCAGUGGGGAAUAUUGCACAAUGGGGGAAACCCUGAUGCAGCGACGCCGCGUGAGCGAUGAAGUAUUUCGGUAUGUAAAGCUCUAUCAGCAGGGAAGAAAAUGACGGUACCUGACUAAGAAGCCCCGGCUAACUACGUGCCAGCAGCCGCGGUAAUACGUAGGGGGCAAGCGUUAUCCGGAUUUACUGGGUGUAAGGGGAGCGUAGACGGUCCUGCAAGCCAGAUGUGAAAGCCCGGGGCUUAACCCCGGGACUGCAUUUGGAACUGUAAGGCUAGAGUGUAGGAGAGGCAGGCGGAAUUCCUAGUGUAGCGGUGAAAUGCGUAGAUAUUAGGAGGAACACCAGUGGCGAAGGCGGCCUGCUGGACGAUAACUGACGUUGAGGCUCGAAAGCGUGGGGAGCAAACAGGAUUAGAUACCCGAGUAGUC